This 75-nucleotide microRNA precursor is filed under the name Pelobates cultripes (western spadefoot toad). Lineage: Eukaryota; Metazoa; Chordata; Amphibia; Anura; Pelobatidae. The record is from RNAcentral.
UGUGUGUGUGUCUGUCUGUAUGUAUGUGUGUGUCUGUAUGAUACAGACACAUACAUACAGAGACACACACACAGA